GUUGAAUGUGGUGAUUCAUACUUCUAAUCUCUGCUUUGGGGAGAUUGAGGCUGAAUGAUGACCAUGUGGGAGUUUUGAGCUGCAGUAGGCUGUCCCUAUAAGGUGUCUGCAAAAAAUCCAGCACUAAUAUGGUAAACUCUUAGGAGUAGGAGGCUAUAAGGCAGCUCAAGGAGGUGUGAACAGGCCCAGGUCAGAAAUGGAGCAGGUCAAAGCUCCAGGGCUGAUAAGUAGGUUUAGGCCCUGAGUGGCCAUUAUAAUUCCUGCCUGGAUGGCAAAGGGAGACCCAGUCUCAA
This is an unclassified non-coding RNA of Vombatus ursinus (common wombat), 293 nucleotides long. It matches the Rfam family "Metazoan signal recognition particle RNA". Rfam says of the family: The signal recognition particle (SRP) is a universally conserved ribonucleoprotein. It is involved in the co-translational targeting of proteins to membranes. NCBI's taxonomy places the organism in Eukaryota, Metazoa, Chordata, Mammalia, Diprotodontia, Vombatidae. The record is from Ensembl.